Molecule: ribosomal RNA, 449 nt
Filed under: uncultured bacterium
Lineage: Bacteria
Description: bacterial SSU rRNA
Rfam family: Bacterial small subunit ribosomal RNA
Source: RNAcentral
ACUCCUACGGGAGGCAGCAGUGGGGAAUAUUGCACAAUGGGCGCAAGCCUGAUGCAGCAACGCCGCGUGAGCGAUGAAGGCCUUCGGGUCGUAAAGCUCUGUCCUCAAGGAAGAAUAAAUGACGGUACUUGAGGAGGAAGCCCGGCUAACUACGUGCCAGCAGCCGCGGUAAUACGUAGGGGGCAAGCGUUAUCCGGAAUCACUGGGGCGUAAAGGGGUGCGUAGGCGGUUUUCAAGUCAGAAGUGAAAGGCUAUGGCUCAACCAUAGUAAGCUUUUGAAACUGUUAAACUUGAGUGCAGGAGAGGAAAGUGGAAUUCCUAGUGUAGAGGUGAAAUUCGUAGAUAUUAGGAGGAACACCAGUGGCGAAGGCGACUUUCUGGACUGUAACUGACGCUGAGGCACGAAAGCGUGGGGAGCGAACAGGAUUAGAUACCCUGGUAGCUCGAUG